CAAUAGUGUACGUACACAGGGAAGUUAAAAACACCUGUCCUUCAAAACAAAUUCUUUUUGUCUCAGACCAGACCUUUUUCUAAAUUAAAAAGCAAUUUUUAGGUUUGAACGGUUUUGCCCACUGAGUUUCUCGCCGGAUCUUCUCAGUGGGUCGCGUUUCCGAUCCGGUGGUAGAUUCUGCGAAGCACUGCUCUUGCUAGGACCAGUGUUAGCAACACUCUUGGUUAGAGCCCCGUGAGCUCACCUACACGUCAAGGAGAAGCUGAAAUAACCUCUUAAGGCUAUCAGCAUAGGAAGGGGAAAAAAAGAAUAAGACCGUAAGAACAAGUAACUACCUGUUGAACUAUAGUGUCAUAAAGUACAUCAAUGGAUAGUCAUGGCCUACCAGAACGAACGUUAGGCAUCAACGAACAAUCAUUGGUAAUAAAUAUCAAAGCAUUUAGCCGUACGUGAAUAAGAAAGAUUCUGUUCGGGAAAGAAGUUUAUCAACACCCAUAAGCGGUCAAUGUCGACCAUCAUUAUCAGCAACGACGGGUCCGGCGAAGCUGUUAUCUAUGCUAGAUUCCAUUCAAACCUCAUUAAAAAGAACAAUGUAGCGUUAACACCGAAGACGCACGUGUCAAAAUGCGAAUUAACUUCACUCACUCUAUCUACUACUAGUGUAGAGACCAUAAUUCCCUGGAAACGCACAAGCCAAAUGACUGCAAUGCCAAGGCCUGCGGUCACGUGAAUAUCAAGGCUUAUUGAGAAGUUGAGUAGGUACCAUUUGCGGUUAGACCGUGUGUCUCAACGUGGGGCCCAUGCCUCCCAAGGGGGGAAUUUCAUAAUUAAGGGGUAAUGGCACCAUUUUUAAUAUAGAAAAUCUGUAUUAAAGGUAUUUUGAAUUUGAAUU
Bombyx mori (domestic silkworm) is the source of this 892-nucleotide long non-coding RNA. RefSeq lists it as uncharacterized. The record is from RefSeq and is a predicted model, not a curated record. The transcript is spliced from 2 exons. NCBI's taxonomy places the organism in Eukaryota, Metazoa, Arthropoda, Insecta, Lepidoptera, Bombycidae.